CUGAACCAGCCAAGUAGCGUGAAGGAUGACUGCCCUAUGGGUUGUAAACUUCUUUUAUAAAGGAAUAAAGUCGGGUAUGUAUACCCGUUUGCAUGUACUUUAUGAAUAAGGAUCGGCUAACUCCGUGCCAGCAGCCGCGGUAAUACGGAGGAUCCGAGCGUUAUCCGGAUUUAUUGGGUUUAAAGGGAGCGUAGAUGGAUGUUUAAGUCAGUUGUGAGAGUUUGCGG
This 227-nucleotide ribosomal RNA is filed under the name uncultured bacterium. Its description in RNAcentral is "partial 16S ribosomal RNA". It matches the Rfam family "Bacterial small subunit ribosomal RNA", at positions 383 to 607 of the family's 1533-position model. The record is from RNAcentral.